RNAcentral lists this ribosomal RNA (279 nucleotides) under uncultured bacterium. Its description in RNAcentral is "partial 16S ribosomal RNA". It matches the Rfam family "Bacterial small subunit ribosomal RNA", at positions 506 to 784 of the family's 1533-position model. The record is from RNAcentral.
UGCCAGCAGCCGCGGUAACACGGGGGGCGCAAGCGUUAUUCGGAAUUAUUGGGCGUAAAGGGCGUGUAGGCGGGAAAGUGUGUGAUCGGUGAAAGCCUGGGGCUCAACCCCAGAAGUGCUGAUCAAACUGCUUUUCUAGAGACAGUCAGAGGUUAGCAGAAUUCUUGGUGUAGAGGUGAAAUUCGUAGAGAUCAAGAGGAAUACCAGCGGCGAAGGCGGCUGACUGGGACUUGUCUGACGCUGAGGCGCGAAAGCGUGGGGAGCAAACAGGAUUAGAUA